CCCCGACCCCGUUCGUAAGCCCUAAUCCGUAUUUUCCUUUUUUCUUUUCUACCAAUAAUACUGUGUAUCCCACUGCACCAGCCUGUGUUGAGUUCAAUUAAUCAAGCCUUUGUUGAGUUCAGUUCAAUCCCACUUCACAAAAUGUAUAAUACAUCAAUCGAAUCAAUUAAUCAAAACAUGAUGAUACAUAUGUGUCCACUGCACAAAAUGUAUGAUAUGCAUGGCUUCGAACUUCAAAUAUUUAUUAGAGUAAAUAUUUAUAUGGGUCAAAACAUGAUGAUACAUAUGUGUCCACUGCACAAUAUUUAUAAGAGUAAAUAUUUUGUAUUCUCAGCUAUAAUACCAUGU
RNAcentral lists this long non-coding RNA (348 nucleotides) under Brachypodium distachyon (stiff brome). Its description in RNAcentral is "long non-coding RNA (BDIS_LNC004833)". The record is from RNAcentral. Lineage: Eukaryota; Viridiplantae; Streptophyta; Magnoliopsida; Poales; Poaceae.